This is a long non-coding RNA of Cucumis sativus (cucumber), 2691 nucleotides long. RefSeq lists it as uncharacterized. Lineage: Eukaryota; Viridiplantae; Streptophyta; Magnoliopsida; Cucurbitales; Cucurbitaceae. The transcript is spliced from 3 exons. The record is from RefSeq and is a predicted model, not a curated record.
CUUAACUCUUUCUUACUCUACUCUUUCCCUAUCAAUUUUUCUUUUCUUUCUCUCCAAGUUGGUUUCUAGUUUUCUUCUCUUCUCAAUUUGUGACCCUAGAUCGCGAACGGCAACCAAUCUUCAUCGUGCUUCUGCCGCAAGAAUCCUUAAUUGGGUUUCUUCAUUUGAUUUGGGUUUCAUUUAUUUCUCAUUUUCGUUUUGGAAUCAAUCUUUGAAUUUUUGUGAUGGGUUCUUGCCCAAACUAUUGUUGUGUUGUUUUACCCGGAGAGUAAGUGAGAGUUGAAAAGAAUUAAGUGAAUGACAACAAAGAAAUUAUCAUAUUCUUCGUGGUGCUGAAGCCACCCUCCCCACGCCAACCGUCUAGCAGCCUACCACCAAACGUCACCGUUGCGCGCACCGAAGUUGUUUGUAUUAGUUCUGACCCGCUUCGAUCACUCUUGAGUAAUGUAUUCUUAUUUUUGUAUAUUUUGGUUGGGUUUCUUGAAACUUUUUAAUAUAUAGUUUAGGCUUGUGUUUAACAAUAUCCAUUACAUUUCGUUGUUAGAUUUGAAGUUUUGGAAGAAUUGAGUUGUUGUCUAGUCAAUAAGAAGAUUGAUUUUUGGCUCUUUUGACAUAGAAUUGGUGAGAAUCUUGGUUUUCUUGAAUGGGUCAUGGAUAUCCAUUAAGUGUUUGGUGCAAAAUUAAAUUACUCGUGAUUUUGAAAUGUUAUAUUUGAGUUUAAAAGGUUGUUAUCGUGUUGUCCAGUGGAGUUGAGGUGAUUUUGACAUGUUCUCGGUAAGACUUUUGACAAAUAUUUCAGUGAGUUUUCUCAGAUUCCUUGAAUACCCAUUUGGUUUUGACAUAAAUUAAUGUUACCCAUAAUGUUUUGGAGGAAAGAUUAUAGAUUUGGAGGAUUUUGAAGAAAUUUCCAUCAAAGUUUGGUACCUUUUAAGUGUUGUUCCGUAAGUUUUAAUGCAAAAUAAAUAAUUAAUUUUAUGUGUGGUUCAGUUUCUCAUAAACAUCACUGUACUCUUUCUCUGUGAUUAAGCCCAUUUUUUCAAUUGGCAAGUUGAUUGUAGUCGUCUUUUGUAAGAUCCUUGGGUUUUUCUAUCUUUUCACUCACCAAUCGAAAGAAUUUUGUUACAGAAAAUGAUUGUUUACUUGUGAUUGCUAGGUAACAUUAUUGAUUAUUAAUUGUCUUUAUUUUUCACCUCACUCAUCUGCUUUGACAAUAUGACACCAUUUGUUGGUUCUAAAUUAUGAUUUCUCAAUGUUUCAUUCCAUUUCUUUUGCUUUCUCAACUAUUUGCUAUUGAAAGAAUAAGAAAGGAAUCUAUAUGUAUAUUUCAGAAGGAAGCUUCAAAAAGAGCUUGGAGUUAUUCUUCAAAAGGAUGCAUUUGAAAUGAUAUUUGAUUCUCUUUCUGAAGGGUUAGCGAAUCGUUCCAAGUAACCAUAAUAUUUUUAGACAUGGCAUAUGAUUUGGUUUUUUAUAACCUUUCCUGGUGAUUAGUCUUUUUUUGUUACUAUCUGAUUUUGGUUUCUGAAAAAUAAAUAUUAUCCGUUUCUAAAGUCUAUGGUUUGAAACUUUGAAAAACCCCAUUGCCCCAUUCCGAAAUUCCAGCCCACUUAAGAAAUACGGUGUUGCGAAGGGUACUAUCUUAGCUGCUUCGCGUCUCAUUCAAAGGGAACGAACAAGAUUAGUGAGAAUGAUCUUCAUGAACCUUCAGGAAAGGGAUUUGUCCAUGUUUCUAUUAUUUGAUUUUUUAUUAUAUAAAAUAUUGAUUUUAGCCUUAUUGAAGAUUGUAUCAAGUAAAUGUGAAGUAUUUGACAACUGAUAACUACAUCUUCUUUUGUGGACUUAGAAGCACUGUGGUUUCUUUAAGAAAUUUGAAUAUAGUCUUUGUUAUUCUAUAGAAAUGUAAGCUGCUAGUUUUCUUGAAUUUUUCAUUUUAAUCAUUUCACUUAAAAUUGUUGACCCACUUGCAUCUUGGAGUUAUUUUGUUUCAAAUUCUUGAUUGCAUAUUUGCUAAUGCAAGUGCUGGUAAGCAAAUCAAGAUUUGGGACGUAUCUACUGGACAAUGUAAUAUAACUAUGCCACAUCAUACAGACAAGGAAUGUUCUUCAUAUUGUUCAAGAGGCUGUAUCUUUGGAGAGGACAUCAUUAGUUUAAUUUUGGAUACUAAGUGAAGAAGGGUGAAGCUCGACGAGUAGCUCAUUAAGCGCAAGGAGACCCAACCAACCUUUCUAUGGCAAGGAAGUAGUUGCUAGGCGAUCAAGCCGAUAGCAAACAAAAGAUUUUUGGCGGGAAAGUCAGAAGAUGACUAAUAGGACAGGCUGCACAACAUAGCUAUAAAUUUUUGGAGAUCUUAAUGUCGCGUGCCGGCAUGUCAACAUCACUCCUGGUGUAUAAAUAGAGUUUCUCACUCCAAAACAAAGUGUGCACAAUUUGGGCGGAAUGCAAGCUCUUUAUAUCAUCAAUCCUUCUCCCUUACUUUGAGUUUUAGGUGAGAGCUAAAACAAAAGAGAGAGAGAUUCAUUCAUCCAUUGUUCCCCUCAUCUAUAGGCAAAAAGCGAAGCAAAUAGUACGUGAGAUUAGACUCUGUGGAGUAACUCACCUGUUGUAUUUUCACUUUCUCUUUCUUAUUUUAUGUUGUUUUGUAAGUAGAACUUCAUGGCCAGAAGGUUUAAGUGUUAUUUAUAAAAGCAAUGCUUU